GAAAGGGUGUGCGUCAUGCAUGCCUGGGCUGGGAUAUCGGGAGAUAGUCCUGGUAGGAUGCCGCUUUAACACCGAAGCGAAUGAUUUCGCAUCAGGCAUCCGCAGCCUCAGUUAGA
Non-coding RNA from Lachnoclostridium sp. An169, 116 nucleotides. Lineage: Bacteria; Bacillati; Bacillota; Clostridia; Lachnospirales; Lachnospiraceae. The record is from Rfam.